This 468-nucleotide ribosomal RNA is filed under the name uncultured bacterium. RNAcentral describes it as "partial 16S ribosomal RNA". It matches the Rfam family "Bacterial small subunit ribosomal RNA", at positions 28 to 507 of the family's 1533-position model. The record is from RNAcentral.
GACGAACGCUGGCGGCGUGCUUAACACAUGCAAGUCGAACGGCAACGCCCUGCUUUUUUGGGGUGCUCGAGUGGCGAACGGGUGCGUAACACGUGAGUAACCUGCUCUUCACUUUGGGAUAACUUCAGGUAACUGGGCCUACUACCGUAUCGCAGCUCAUGCUCCAUGGUGGGGGUUGGAACGUUUCGGCGGUCGGGGAUGGACGCGCGGCUUAUCAGCUUGUUGGUUGGGUAGUGGCUUACCGAGGAUUUGACCGGUAGCCGGCCUGGGAGGGGGACCGGGCACAAUGGGACUGAGAGACGCAGCAGACGCCAACGUGAGACAGCAGGGGGGAGUAUUGCACAGUGGGCGGGAGCCUGAUACGGCGGCGCCGGGGGCGGGAAGACGGCUUGCGGGGAGAGAAACGCAGUCGCUUGUGACGAAGCGGGAGUGACGGUAAUGGGUAAAGAAGCACCGGCUAACUACGUG